RNAcentral lists this ribosomal RNA (465 nucleotides) under uncultured bacterium. RNAcentral describes it as "partial 16S ribosomal RNA". It matches the Rfam family "Bacterial small subunit ribosomal RNA", at positions 28 to 507 of the family's 1533-position model. The record is from RNAcentral.
GACGAACGCUGGCGGCGUGCUUAACACAUGCAAGUCGAACGGAAAGGCCCCUUUGGGGGUACUCGAGUGGCGAACGGGAGCGUAACACGUGAGUAACCUGCCCUUGACUUCGGGAUAACUUCAGGAAACUGGGGCCAAUACCGGAUAGGAAUCCUUGCUGCAUGGUGGGGGUUGGAAAGCUACGGCGGUUUUGGAUGGACUCGCGGCUUAUCAGCUUGUUGGUGGGGUAGUGGCUUACCAAGGCUUUGACGGGUAGCCGGCCUGAGAGGGCGACCGGCCGCAUUGGGACUGAGAUACGGCCCAGACUCCUACGGGAGGCAGCAGUGGGGAAUAUUGCACAAGGGGCGGAAGCCUGAUGCAGCAACGCCGCGUGCGGGAUGACGGCCUUCGGGUUGUAAACCGCUUUCAGCAGGGGCGAAGCUUGUGGUGACGGUACCUGCAGAAGAAGCACCGGCUAACUACGUG